GACGACAUCUCUUCGAGCCUCUCUGGCGGUCGAGCCUCCCCAACGCUCUCAAGUUUUGCCGAUGGACAAGCCCCCGCCAGUGUCGAUCGGAUUCUUCACGAUGCUCAGACUCCUAUGGGAGCCGGACCUCUUCCCCGACUUCAACUGCUGGAAGACUUCGUCCGGACUCCUACGGGAGCAGGACUUCACCCCCAACUUC
This 199-nucleotide long non-coding RNA is filed under the name Elaeis guineensis (African oil palm). RNAcentral describes it as "long non-coding RNA (EGUI_LNC068067)". Lineage: Eukaryota; Viridiplantae; Streptophyta; Magnoliopsida; Arecales; Arecaceae. The record is from RNAcentral.